Centruroides sculpturatus (bark scorpion) is the source of this 286-nucleotide long non-coding RNA. RefSeq lists it as uncharacterized. The record is from RefSeq and is a predicted model, not a curated record. The transcript is spliced from 3 exons. Lineage: Eukaryota; Metazoa; Arthropoda; Arachnida; Scorpiones; Buthidae.
UUAAAACAAAAAAAAUAAUAUUUUAAAAUAAUAUAUUCCAAAUUAUUUUUCUAUGAUUAAAUCAUUUUGUCGAUAGAGGGAUGAUGGAGUGAAAUGUCAAGAAGUAAUGAAAAUACCAGUCAAAAAUUAUAUUUAAUUUAGAUUUAUAAUAAUUAAAAACUGAAAAUAUGAGUUGGAACCCUCUUAGGAUUCUCAGUAGUAAACAUGGUUCAAGGUCUCCUUUUCCCUUAGUGGAUGAAGGUGACUUUGAUCGUCAAAUGAAAAAUUUUGAACAGUAAGUUUAAAA